Molecule: ribosomal RNA, 233 nt
Filed under: uncultured bacterium
Lineage: Bacteria
Description: partial 16S ribosomal RNA
Rfam family: Bacterial small subunit ribosomal RNA
Source: RNAcentral
CGGACGGGUGAGUAAUGUCUGGGGAAACUGCCUGAUGGAGGGGGAUAACUACUGGAAACGGUAGCUAAUACCGCAUAACGUCGCAAGACCAAAGAGGGGGACCUUCGGGCCUCUUGCCAUCGGAUGUGCCCAGAUGGGAUUAGCUAGUAGGUGGGGUAAAGGCUCACCUAGGCGACGAUCCCUAGCUGGUCUGAGAGGAUGACCAGCCACACUGGAACUGAGACACGGUCCAG